GACGAACGCUGGCGGCGUGCUUAACACAUGCAAGUCGAACGGAAAGGCCCUGCUUUUGUGGGGUGCUCGAGUGGCGAACGGGUGAGUAACACGUGAGUAACCUGCCCUUGACUUUGGGAUAACUUCAGGAAACUGGGGCUAAUACCGGAUAGGAGCUCCUGCUGCAUGGUGGGGGUUGGAAAGUUUCGGCGGUUGGGGAUGGACUCGCGGCUUAUCAGCUUGUUGGUGGGGUAGUGGCUUACCAAGGCUUUGACGGGUAGCCGGCCUGAGAGGGUGACCGGCCACAUUGGGACUGAGAUACGGCCCAGACGCCUACGGGAGGCAGCAGUGGGGAAUAUUGCACAAUGGGCGGAAGCCUGAUGCAGCGACGCCGCGUGCGGGAUGACGGCCUUCGGGUUGUAAACCGCUUUCGCCUGUGACGAAGCGUGAGUGACGGUAAUGGGUAAAGAAGCACCGGCUAACUACGUG
RNAcentral lists this ribosomal RNA (468 nucleotides) under uncultured bacterium. Its description in RNAcentral is "partial 16S ribosomal RNA". It matches the Rfam family "Bacterial small subunit ribosomal RNA", at positions 28 to 507 of the family's 1533-position model. The record is from RNAcentral.